GCCAGCUCCGGCUGGGACAAGGGCCUGAACAACUGGAAACCCUGAUUUCGUCUCCACCCUAGCCCCUUUCUUGGGCAACACCCCCUGCACCAUCAGAGUUGCCUUCUCUGAAUGACUCUGCCUGAGGGAAGUAACCCAGGCUGGGCAGGGAGGGGUUAACGGGGCUACCCGACUCCGCGUGAGAGCCAGGUAGCUCUCUGGCCCAGUGGAAAAAUGGCAUAUCUGGACUGUGGACCAAUCCCCAAGCCCGGCGUAGUGCCAGUCCAGUGAGGCCUCAAACCUGCCCUGUGACUUCGAGCAAGCUGAUGGCCUUUCCUGGGGCUCAUGUUCUCCAUCUGUCAAGACCCAUAACCGACUCUAACUGCUAGGGCAUUCGGAACUUGAAGUCCCAGAUCAGGAGAUGGGUUUACAAGACAUGCCGCUGAGGUAAGAGAAGCCUAACGUUCCCGUCUUUUGGGCAGAAUCCCACAGCCUCGGGACCCCGUCUGCUUUGUCUGCUGGGACUGGGGUCCUGCCUCAUGGGGUGCCUACACCCUGGGGUCCUGCCUC
Molecule: long non-coding RNA, 549 nt
Filed under: Ursus maritimus (polar bear)
Lineage: Eukaryota; Metazoa; Chordata; Mammalia; Carnivora; Ursidae
Description: lncRNA (ENSUMAG00000000912.1)
Source: RNAcentral